GACCUCGUAGCUUAACGGUAGAGCAAUGGACUGUUAAUCCAGUGGUUACGGGUUCAAAUCCCGUCGAGGUCU
RNAcentral lists this transfer RNA (72 nucleotides) under bacterium. RNAcentral's name for it is "tRNA-Asn". It matches the Rfam family "tRNA". From Rfam's summary of the family: Transfer RNA (tRNA) molecules are approximately 80 nucleotides in length. Their secondary structure includes four short double-helical elements and three loops (D, anti-codon, and T loops). The record is from RNAcentral.